Molecule: transfer RNA, 71 nt
Filed under: Camelus bactrianus (Bactrian camel)
Lineage: Eukaryota; Metazoa; Chordata; Mammalia; Artiodactyla; Camelidae
Also listed under: 2 other names
Rfam family: tRNA
About the family: Transfer RNA (tRNA) molecules are approximately 80 nucleotides in length. Their secondary structure includes four short double-helical elements and three loops (D, anti-codon, and T loops).
Source: Rfam by way of RNAcentral
GAGGGUAUAGUUCAGUGGUAGAGCACUUGCUUGUCAUGUAUGAAGUCCUGGUUCAAUCCCCAGUGCCUCCA